This 229-nucleotide ribosomal RNA is filed under the name uncultured bacterium. RNAcentral describes it as "partial 16S ribosomal RNA". It matches the Rfam family "Bacterial small subunit ribosomal RNA", at positions 568 to 796 of the family's 1533-position model. The record is from RNAcentral.
UGCGUAGGCGGAUUAAUAAGUCAGUGGUGAAAACCUGCAGCUUAACUGUAGAACUGCCAUUGAUACUGUUAGCCUUGAGUACGGUCAAGGUAGGCGGAAUGUGUAAUGUAGCGGUGAAAUGCUUAGAUAUUACACAGAACACCGAUUGCGAAGGCAGCUUACUGGGCCAUUACUGACGCUGAGGCACGAAAGCGUGGGUAGCGAACAGGAUUAGAUACCCUGGUAGUCC